This 550-nucleotide non-coding RNA is filed under the name Pan troglodytes (chimpanzee). The record is from RNAcentral. Lineage: Eukaryota; Metazoa; Chordata; Mammalia; Primates; Hominidae.
GUGCAUUUGACCGCUCCUCCCUCCGCGUUGGAGGCGGAAUAGUGGGUUUUGCUGCAACCGGUUUAUUUUCCUUCUGUUUUCACCCAUUCGGGCACAAUCUGGCGCCAUCGUCCUUCUUGUGAGGCCAAGCCUGAAAAUGCGAAGCAGAGAGGCAGGACCAAAAUUGAGGCGAAUCCGGGAACCUGCCAAUGGGUCUCCGGGUGCGGUCUCUGAAACUGGAGGAUAUCGGGAGGAAAGGCUCUCCGAUGCGGAGAUAAUGGGGAAGCUCUUGGCAUGGUUGGCUGUAGGUAUGUGAUACCGGAGGAGCAGGAGUCAAAUAGGAUACGCCGACUUUUAAUUCAAGGAACCCUUUUCUGAAACACUUUGCCACAAUGAAGGAAAUAAGAUUACAGCCGAAGAUACAUAUUAAGGAAUUGUACUCUCAGAGAUGUUGAGAAAAGAUACAUGGGUCUUGGAAGAUAAUUACUCAAAAUAUGCAGGGAAGGUAGUAUAUCUUUCUAUUUUAAAUGUAUUAAGUAUUCCUGGAACUAUAGCAGUGAGUUGGAAAUGG